This 69-nucleotide transfer RNA is filed under the name Spilogale gracilis (western spotted skunk). RNAcentral's name for it is "tRNA-Lys". RNAcentral also lists the same sequence under 4 other names. Lineage: Eukaryota; Metazoa; Chordata; Mammalia; Carnivora; Mephitidae. The record is from RNAcentral.
CAUUAAGAAGCUAACACAGCAUUAACCUUUUAAGUUAAAAAUUGAGAGUAUUCAAUCUCUCCUUAAUGA